UUAGGAAUAUUGGGCAAUGGAGGAAACUCUGACCCAGCAACGCCGCGUGAAGGAAGAAGGUUUUCGGAUUGUAAACUUCUGAUCUGUGGGAAGAAGAGAGUGACGGUACCACAGGAGAAAGCCACGGCUAACUACGUGCCAGCAGCCGCGGUAAUACGUAGGUGGCGAGCGUUGUCCGGAAUAACUGGGCGUAAAGGGAGCGUAGGUGGUAAUUUAAGUUAAAUGUGAAAGCCCAGGGCUCAACUCUGGAAUUGCAUUUAAUACUGGGUUACUAGAGUGCAGGAGGGGUAAACGGAAUUUCUAGUGUAGCGGUGAAAUGCGUAGAUAUUAGGAAGAACACCGGAGGCGAAGGCGGUUUACUGGACUGCAACUGACACUGAGGCUCGAAAGCGUGGGGAGCAAACAGG
RNAcentral lists this ribosomal RNA (407 nucleotides) under uncultured bacterium. RNAcentral describes it as "bacterial SSU rRNA". It matches the Rfam family "Bacterial small subunit ribosomal RNA", at positions 355 to 776 of the family's 1533-position model. The record is from RNAcentral.